GCGAGUGAAGCGGGAAGAGCUCAAAUUUGUAAUCUGGCGUCUUUCAGGCGUCCGAGUUGUAAUCUAUAGAAGUGUUUUCCGUGCUGGACCAUGUCCAAGUCCCUUGGAACAGGGUAUCAAAGAGGGUGACAAUCCCGUACUUGAUAUGGCUACCAGUGCUCUGUGAUACACUUUCUACGAGUCGAGUUGUUUGGGAAUGCAGCUCAAAAUGGGUGGUAAAUUCCAUCUAAAGCUAAAUAUUGGCGAGAGACCGAUAGCGAACAAGUACCGUGAGGGAAAGAUGAAAAGCACUUUGGAAAGAGAGUUAAACAGUACGUGAAAUUGUUGAAAGGGAAACGAUUGAAGUCAGUCGUGUUCAUUGGACUCAGCCGGUUUUCGGUGUAUUUCCUUUGAACGGGUCAACAUCAGUUUUGUCCGGUGGAUAAAGGCAGGAAGAAAGUGGCUUGCUUGCAAGUGUUAUAGCUUUCUGUCACAUACACUGGGGGAGACUGAGGACUGCAGCUCGCCUUUUGGCCGGGGUUCGCCCACGUUCGAGCUUAGGAUGUUGACAUAAUGGCUUUAAACGACCC
Molecule: ribosomal RNA, 569 nt
Filed under: Vanrija pseudolonga
Lineage: Eukaryota; Fungi; Basidiomycota; Tremellomycetes; Trichosporonales; Trichosporonaceae
Description: eukaryotic LSU rRNA
Rfam family: Eukaryotic large subunit ribosomal RNA
Source: RNAcentral